This 465-nucleotide ribosomal RNA is filed under the name Vreelandella stevensii. RNAcentral's name for it is "partial 16S ribosomal RNA". It matches the Rfam family "Bacterial small subunit ribosomal RNA", at positions 338 to 795 of the family's 1533-position model. Lineage: Bacteria; Pseudomonadati; Pseudomonadota; Gammaproteobacteria; Oceanospirillales; Halomonadaceae. The record is from RNAcentral.
CCUACGGGUGGCAGCAGUGGGGAAUAUUGGACAAUGGGGGCAACCCUGAUCCAGCCAUGCCGCGUGUGUGAAGAAGGCCCUCGGGUUGUAAAGCACUUUCAGUGAGGAAGAACGCCUGGUGGUUAAUACCCAUCAGGAAAGACAUCACUCACAGAAGAAGCACCGGCUAACUCCGUGCCAGCAGCCGCGGUAAUACGGAGGGUGCGUGCGUUAAUCGGAAUUACUGGGCGUAAAGCGCGCGUAGGUGGCUUGAUAAGCCGGUUGUGAAAGCCCCGGGCUCAACCUGGGAACGGCAUCCGGAACUGUCAAGCUAGAGUGCAGGAGAGGAAGGUAGAAUUCCCGGUGUAGCGGUGAAAUGCGUAGAGAUCGGGAGGAAUACCAGUGGCGAAGGCGGCCUUCUGGACUGACACUGACACUGAGGUGCGAAAGCGUGGGUAGCAAACAGGAUUAGAUACCCUGGUAGUC